CCCUUAGAUGUUCUGGGCCGCACGCGCGCUACACUGACGAAGUCAGCGAGCAUGUCCUACGCCGACAGGUGCGGGGAAUCUUGUCAAACUUCGUCGUGAUGGGGAUUGAUUAUUGAAAUUCUUGAUCAUCAACGAGGAAUUCCUAGUAAGCGCAAGUCAGCAGCUUGCGUUGAUUACGUCCCUGCCCUUUGUACACACCGCCCGUCGCUCCUACCGAUUGGGUGUGCUGGUGAAAUGUUCGGAUCGGCCGUUUGUCGCGGUUUCCGCGGCUCGUGGCUGAGAAGUUCAUUAAACCCUCCCACCUAGAGGAAGGAGAAGUCGUAACA
RNAcentral lists this ribosomal RNA (326 nucleotides) under uncultured eukaryote. RNAcentral describes it as "partial 18S ribosomal RNA". It matches the Rfam family "Eukaryotic small subunit ribosomal RNA", at positions 1470 to 1796 of the family's 1831-position model. The record is from RNAcentral.